AGCGAACGUUUGCGGCGGGCCUAACACAUGCAAGUCGAACGAGAAGCUGGCUUCGGCCAGUGGAAAGUGGCGCACGGGUGCGUAACACGUGGGUAAUCAACCCUUCAGUCGGGGACAACACCGGGAAACUGGUGCUAAUACCGGAUUCGCUCUAGAUGACAUCGGUCAUUUAGGGGAAAGCCUCGCAAGGGGUGCUGAAGGACGAGCCCGCGGCCCAUCAGCUAGUUGGUAAGGUAAAAGCUUACCAAGGCGAAGACGGGUAGCUGGUCUGAGAGGAUGAUCAGCCACACUGGAACUGAGACACGGUCCAG
Molecule: ribosomal RNA, 311 nt
Filed under: uncultured bacterium
Lineage: Bacteria
Description: bacterial SSU rRNA
Rfam family: Bacterial small subunit ribosomal RNA
Source: RNAcentral